This is a long non-coding RNA of Zingiber officinale, 666 nucleotides long. RefSeq lists it as uncharacterized. The record is from RefSeq and is a predicted model, not a curated record. NCBI's taxonomy places the organism in Eukaryota, Viridiplantae, Streptophyta, Magnoliopsida, Zingiberales, Zingiberaceae. The transcript is spliced from 2 exons.
ACAGCAGGGAAAUCAAGUGAGUUAUAGUCUUUGGGCAGUCCCUCCACCUCCACUCUCCACAACUUCGGAUCGCUCACCCCAAAAGCCUGGCUCAAGUACUCCGUGAAAGUCCUCGCCACCGCAGCGUUCGACAGCACGUUACUCUGAGGUAGCUAAAGGCGCCGCCGGCGACCGGAAUCGCGACGGCAAACUCGGUGUAGCACAUGGAGGAGAGGAAGGCGGAGGCGCCGGCGACGAGAUAGGAGAGGAAGACGGAAGGGCCGGCGACGUCAUGGGCGGCGCGGCCGGUGGUGACGAAGACUCCGGCUCCCAGCAUGCCGGCGACGCCGAGGGCGACGAGGUCGUACCACUCGAGCUUGCGCUUCAUGUCGGCGCCGGACCUUUGGCGAACUUGGUUGAGCUCUUGGUCCGGCGUCCAUGUCACGAACAUCCUUCUUCGGAGGCGUUGAGGGGUUUGGGAGAGACCAUGGAGGAGGGUGGAGCAGUGCGCGGUGGCCAUGAAUAAGUUCCUUUUCUUUUUUUUGGGCUAACUAUUUACACCCAUGCAAGGCCAAGGCCCUCCCUUGCCUGCCUUUAUACUUGAUCAUCAAAUUAGGUAGCAGGAUGUGUAUGUUUAUAAUCAUCUCCUGAAACUAAUUAAAGAAUCAGUAACCAAAUUAUAUAUCA